UGGGGAAUAUUGGACAAUGGGCGCAAGCCUGAUCCAGCCAUGCCGCGUGAGUGAUGACGGCCCUAGGGUUGUAAAGCUCUUUCACCGGUGAAGAUAAUGACGGUAACCGGAGAAGAAGCCCCGGCUAACUUCGUGCCAGCAGCCGCGGUAAUACGAAGGGGGCUAGCGUUGUUCGGAUUUACUGGGCGUAAAGCGCACGUAGGCGGACUAUUAAGUCAGGGGUGAAAUCCCGGGGCUCAACCCCGGAACUGCCUUUGAUACUGGUAGUCUUGAGUUCGAGAGAGGUGAGUAGAAUUCCGAGUGUAGAGGUGAAAUUCGUAGAUAUUCGGAGGAACACCAGUGGCGAAGGCGGCUCACUGGCUCGAUACUGACGCUGAGGUGCGAAAGCGUGGGGAGCAAACAGG
RNAcentral lists this ribosomal RNA (404 nucleotides) under Actinomycetes bacterium. RNAcentral's name for it is "Actinobacteria bacterium partial 16S ribosomal RNA". It matches the Rfam family "Bacterial small subunit ribosomal RNA", at positions 355 to 776 of the family's 1533-position model. Lineage: Bacteria; Bacillati; Actinomycetota; Actinomycetes. The record is from RNAcentral.